UUUAAAGUGUCGUAGUUGUUGGUUUUUAUUUCAGCUUAUUCAUACCCUAUCCUAUGCCUUUGGUAAUUUUUAUGUUACUGCAAAUUAGUUUGGGCCAUUACGGCAAUGUUACUUAUCUUCUACAAAAGGAAUAUAUCAAGCAAUAAGGAUUUUUAAUUUUUAUUAUUGAGAAAUAUAAUAGGAACAAUAAAUUAUCUCCAGCUAUCUCUGUUUUAAGCAUUGGAAAAGAUUUUGAAGAAUAUGGGUGUUGCUGCUGUUGAACUGUUGUUUAAACAUUAUUUCUCACACUGUGGCUAAUGGAUUUAAUUAUGGUUCACACUCUUGUUUCUUUAUCAUCUCUUCAGAUGGGGAGCUAUACAGAAACAUUGUAAACCACUACGAGAACAUGUUAUUAGGCUGUCUCUGCUGAUGAAGGGCCAAGGAAAGAAAUCAGAGCUCCUGGUUCCUUAAAGUUUACUGGCACGGUCUCUGAUCCGGGUAUCACUUGGAAAGCUGUGAAUCAAGUGUAAUCGAUUAGCAUCCAUCCACUCGCCUAUUUAAUGAACUACCUCAUGCUUUAAAGAAAGAUUGGAGAAUGAAGACAGAUUCUCUAAAUGUCUUACAAGAAGGAAAUCCUUGAAGAUUUUGCAAUCACUAAAAAGUGUACAGAGCUGCUGCAAAUAAUAUAUGCUUUUCAUUCAUUCUCUGUGUCAAAUCUCCAAGAAAGGUGGCAUCCCAGGGCCAGGAGACCAGACUUUCAAGAGCCUGGAAUCUGUUCUCAGGGUCUGAGAGUCUUUCCCACGUUCUUCACCAGCAGCGCUUCUGGAGAGCACAAAAGGUCGACUGGGCCAAAUCAUGUCUGCAAGGCUUGUUUCCUCCUGUCUGCACGUCUGAGGAGAGGAAGAAACAAGCCAUCUCUGGGCCCACUCCAUGUGAGUUUCCUCUGCCUUCACCUUGAGGAUGCACCUGCUAGGAAUGAAAAAUCAAUCUGA
RNAcentral lists this long non-coding RNA (971 nucleotides) under Felis catus (domestic cat). Its description in RNAcentral is "lncRNA (ENSFCAG00000048406.1)". The record is from RNAcentral. Lineage: Eukaryota; Metazoa; Chordata; Mammalia; Carnivora; Felidae.